RNAcentral lists this ribosomal RNA (465 nucleotides) under uncultured bacterium. RNAcentral describes it as "partial 16S ribosomal RNA". It matches the Rfam family "Bacterial small subunit ribosomal RNA", at positions 28 to 507 of the family's 1533-position model. The record is from RNAcentral.
GACGAACGCUGGCGGCGUGCUUAACACAUGCAAGUCGAACGGAAAGGCCCCUUUUGGGGUACUCGAGUGGCGAACGGGUGAGUAACACGUGAGUAACCUGCCCUUGACUUCGGGAUAACUUCAGGAAACUGGGGCUAAUACCGGAUAGGAAUCCUUGCUGCAUGGUGGGGGUUGGAAAGCUUCGGCGGUUUUGGAUGGACUCGCGGCUUAUCAGCUUGUUGGUGGGGUAGUGGCUUACCAAGGCUUUGACGGGUAGCCGGCCUGAGAGGGCGACCGGCCACAUUGGGACUGAGGUACCGCCCAGGCUCCUACGGGAGGCAGCAGUGGGGAAUUUUGCACAAUGGGCCGGAGCCUGAUGCAGCAACGCCGCGGGCGGGAUGACGGCCCUCGGGUUGUAAACCGCUUUCAGCAGGGGCGAAGCUUGUGGUGACGGUACCUUCAGAAGAAGAACCGGCUAACUACGUG